RNAcentral lists this transfer RNA (85 nucleotides) under Hydrogenophilales bacterium 12-64-13. Its description in RNAcentral is "tRNA-Leu". It matches the Rfam family "tRNA". From Rfam's summary of the family: Transfer RNA (tRNA) molecules are approximately 80 nucleotides in length. Their secondary structure includes four short double-helical elements and three loops (D, anti-codon, and T loops). Further hydrogen bonds mediate the characteristic L-shaped molecular structure. tRNAs have two regions of fundamental functional importance: the anti-codon, which is responsible for specific mRNA codon recognition, and the 3' end, to which the tRNAs corresponding amino acid is attached (by aminoacyl-tRNA synthetases). tRNAs cope with the degeneracy of the genetic code in two manners: having more than one tRNA (with a specific anti-codon) for a particular amino acid; and 'wobble' base-pairing, i.e. permitting non-standard base-pairing at the 3rd anti-codon position. The record is from RNAcentral. Lineage: Bacteria; Pseudomonadati; Pseudomonadota; Hydrogenophilia; Hydrogenophilales.
CCCGACGUGGUGGAAUUGGUAGACACGCUAUCUUGAGGGGGUAGUGACCUAGGUCGUGCGAGUUCGAGUCUCGCCGUCGGCACCA